RNAcentral lists this ribosomal RNA (425 nucleotides) under uncultured bacterium. RNAcentral describes it as "bacterial SSU rRNA". It matches the Rfam family "Bacterial small subunit ribosomal RNA", at positions 354 to 796 of the family's 1533-position model. The record is from RNAcentral.
GUGGGGAAUAUUGGACAAUGGGCGCAAGCCUGAUCCAGCCAUGCCGCGUGAGUGAUGAAGGCCUUAGGGUUGUAAAGCUCUUUUGUCCGGGAAGAUAAUGACUGUACCGGAAGAAUAAGCCCCGGCUAACUUCGUGCCAGCAGCCGCGGUAAUACGAAGGGGGCUAGCGUUGCUCUGAAUCACUGGGCGUAAAGGGCGCGUAGGCGGACUGUUAAGUCGGAGGUGAAAGCCAAGGGCUCAACCCUGGAAUAGCCUUCGAUACUGGGAGUCUUGAGUUCGGAAGAGGUUGGUGGAACUGCGAGUGUAGAGGUGAAAUUCGUAGAUAUUCGCAAGAACACCGGUGGCGAAGGCGGCCAACUGGUCCGAAACUGACGCUGAGGCGCGAAAGCGUGGGGAGCAAACAGGAUUAGAAACCCUGGUAGUCC